GACGAACGCUGGCGGCGUGCUUAACACAUGCAAGUCGAACGGAAAGGCCCUGCUUUUGUGGGGUGCUCGAGUGGCGAACGGGUGAGUAACACGUGAGUAACCUGCCCUUGACUUUGGGAUAACUUCAGGAAACUGGGGCUAAUACCGGAUAGGAGCUCCUGCUGCAUGGUGGGGGUUGGAAAGUUUCGGCGGUUGGGGAUGGACUCGCGGCUUAUCAGCUUGUUGGUGGGGUAGUGGCUUACCAAGGCUUUGACGGGUAGCCGGCCUGAGAGGGUGACCGGCCACAUUGGGACUGAGAUACGCCCCAGACUCCUACGUGAGGCAGCAGUGGGGAAUAUUGCACAAUGGGCGGAAGCCUGAUGCAGCAACGCCGCGUGCGGGAUGACGGCCUUCGGGUUGUAAACCGCUUUCGCCUUUGACGAAGCGUGAGUGACGGUAAUGGGUAAAGAAGCACCGGCUAACUACGUG
This 468-nucleotide ribosomal RNA is filed under the name uncultured bacterium. Its description in RNAcentral is "partial 16S ribosomal RNA". It matches the Rfam family "Bacterial small subunit ribosomal RNA", at positions 28 to 507 of the family's 1533-position model. The record is from RNAcentral.